GACGAACGCUGGCGGCGUGCUUAACACAUGCCAGUCGAACGGAAAGGCCUGCUUUCCCUUGUGGAUUGCGGGUACUCGAGUGGCGAACGGGUGAGUAACACGUGAGUGAUCUGCCCCCAACUUGGGUAUAAGCCUGGGAAACUGGGUCUAAUUCCCGAUAGGACUGCAGGGUGGUGCCUGUGGUGGAAAACGAUUUUCUAGUGGUUGGGAUGAGCUCGCGGCCUAUCAGCUUGUUGGUGGGGUAAUGGCCUACCAAGGCGGCGACGGGUAGCCGGCCUGAGAGGGUGGACGGCCACAUUGGGACUGAGAUACGGCCCAGACUCCUACGGGAGGCAGCAGUGGGGAAUAUUGCACAAUGGGCGGAAGCCUGAUGCAGCGACGCCGCGUGGGGGAUGACGGCCUUCGGGUGGUAAACUCCUUUCGACCGCGAGGAAGCCACCUGGUUGGAAGGGUGGUGACGGUAGUGGUAGAAGAAGCACCGGCUAACUACGUG
RNAcentral lists this ribosomal RNA (493 nucleotides) under uncultured bacterium. Its description in RNAcentral is "partial 16S ribosomal RNA". It matches the Rfam family "Bacterial small subunit ribosomal RNA", at positions 28 to 507 of the family's 1533-position model. The record is from RNAcentral.